GGAUGGGUGGCAGGCCAGGCCUAGCACGUGCGACCUCGAGGUUGUUCAAAAUGUUCAAAUCGAGGACUGAGAAGCGCAUGGUGGCCUUGGUAAUAACACAGGCUGCUGGGAGGGGGCUCUUACAGACCCAUCAGCAAUUCUGUACCCAGCAGCAGGCAGUGGGUUAUUUAAUCAGGGUGUUUGUCCUCUGCAGAGCGAGUGGCCUGCUCCUCCUGCUUGUGCCCAGGCUGCUGGGAAAGCCUUGCCUUGGCCCAGGAGGGAUGGAUGUGAGCUGCACUUGUUCUAGUCCUGCUCCUUUAGGUGCAGCAGGUGCUGCGUGCCUCCAGGCCACCCCACCGCCACCAUGGCUCUCUACAACAACGGGGCCAACGCGCCCUCGCCGCAGGAAGCCUCCAACGGCUUCGCGCAGCCCGGCGCCUCGGGGACGUGGCACAAGGCCGAGGAGGAGGUGAGGCUGGCGGAGCCCAGCCUGGUGAAGAAGGCUCACCGCGAGAUCCUGGACCACGAGCGCAAGCGGCGGGUGGAGCUCAAGUGCAUGGAGCUGCAGGAGAUGAUGGAGGAGCAAGGGUGAGUGGUGGGUGCUCGGGGCUGGGUUGGGAUAUCCCGCGGUUGGGCACCCCCGUUGGACACCCCCUGGCACCUCCUCCUGCCCCUUUUUCUCUCUAAACCACCUUGAAGUGGCAAAUAUUCCCAUUUGGAAAGAAAUUUGUCUUUGGGUGGAUUGGGCCGGUCUCUGCAGCACCUUUUUGGGGUGAGAAAGGGCCAGUCUGUGCCUCGUGGGUUAGGGAAAUGAAGCAGAGCUGUGGCUGAGUCCCAGGUGAGGCUGGUCCAGUGCUUCAGUUUGUCCCUGCCUCCCCUUUCACCCUCCAGUUUUGGGGCUAAAGCCUGACUGAUGGAGCAAAUUCUUCAGCGCACGCCGGGAGACGGGGACUGGCAUCAGCUGCGGAGAGGGAAAAUGGAUUGAGGGAAGGCUUCGCCAAGGCUUUCAUUAAGAGCGCAGCCGUGACCUAGAAUUAAAUUGUCUCACACAGACUGGAAUAAUGAUUACGCCUAAUUUGUCGUUAUGGAAAUAAAUAAGGCUGACCUGGCGCCUUGGGGAGCCCGGGUCCUCCUUUCGGGUUCCCGUGCCCUACGAGGAGCCUUACUAUGAGUAGUAGUAAUAGUGCAGCGGGUAGUAGCGCCGUGGUGAUGGGUAUUGUUGCUGCUGUAAUUGUCUUUGCUGUUAUUAAGGCUAUUAAUAACAGUGGGGACAGGGAUCCACCGAAAUGAUAAUGUAAUUACAGCAAUAAUCUUGGCC
This 1297-nucleotide long non-coding RNA is filed under the name Cairina moschata (Muscovy duck). Its description in RNAcentral is "domestica (muscovy Duck (domestic type)) lncRNA (ENSCMMG00000016113.1)". Lineage: Eukaryota; Metazoa; Chordata; Aves; Anseriformes; Anatidae. The record is from RNAcentral.